UACGUAGGGGGCAAGCGUUGUCCGGAAUCAUUGGGCGUAAAGAGCGCGUAGGCGGCCCUGUAAGUCCGCUGUGAAAGUCAAGGGCUCAACCCUUGAAUGCCGGUGGAUACUGCAGGGCUAGAGUCCGGGAGAGGAGAGUGGAGUUCCUGGUGUAGCGGUGAAAUGCGUAGAUAUCAAGAGGAACACCUGAGGUGAAGACGGGUUGCUGGGCUGACACGUGACGCUGAGGCGCGAAAGCUAGGGUAGCAAACGGG
This 254-nucleotide ribosomal RNA is filed under the name uncultured bacterium. RNAcentral describes it as "partial 16S ribosomal RNA". It matches the Rfam family "Bacterial small subunit ribosomal RNA", at positions 524 to 776 of the family's 1533-position model. The record is from RNAcentral.